This 75-nucleotide transfer RNA is filed under the name Gemmataceae bacterium. RNAcentral's name for it is "tRNA-Val". It matches the Rfam family "tRNA". Rfam says of the family: Transfer RNA (tRNA) molecules are approximately 80 nucleotides in length. Their secondary structure includes four short double-helical elements and three loops (D, anti-codon, and T loops). Further hydrogen bonds mediate the characteristic L-shaped molecular structure. tRNAs have two regions of fundamental functional importance: the anti-codon, which is responsible for specific mRNA codon recognition, and the 3' end, to which the tRNAs corresponding amino acid is attached (by aminoacyl-tRNA synthetases). tRNAs cope with the degeneracy of the genetic code in two manners: having more than one tRNA (with a specific anti-codon) for a particular amino acid; and 'wobble' base-pairing, i.e. permitting non-standard base-pairing at the 3rd anti-codon position. The record is from RNAcentral. Lineage: Bacteria; Pseudomonadati; Planctomycetota; Planctomycetia; Gemmatales; Gemmataceae.
GGGCGCUUAGCUCAGUGGUAGAGCAGCGUGUUUACACCGCGUUGGUCAGGGGUUCGAGUCCCUUAGCGCCCACUA